Molecule: non-coding RNA, 2136 nt
Organism: Cinara cedri
Lineage: Eukaryota; Metazoa; Arthropoda; Insecta; Hemiptera; Aphididae
Source: the annotation of a GenBank genome assembly
GGUAACCAUCAAAAUGGGUUUUAACACCCGCGGUAGCCGUAGGUAAAAUCAUUUUCGUAAUACAAAAAUAAUUAUAUUCAAAUGUUUACUGAUUUUGUUAUGCAUUUUCAAUAAAUUCUAAUAAAUAAUACGCGUUAAAUUAUAAUAUUGUUAAUAUCGUGGUGGUGACCGGCGAACGUUGAUUUUCUUUGUUGCACCAUACCGGUCGUCAUUUUCGUUACUUUGGUUCCCUUUAGUUGUAUUCAUUGCAUUUCAUUACCUUCGUUACAUCACCUCAUUACUGUUUAGAAAGCUUCAAAAAAACGUGUUUAAAUGAAUUUUGGCACAUCAUUAAGACAAAUUAAAUACUACAAAAGUAACAAAAUUUCCAAAAUUCACUUUAAUUCUUAUAUUUUAGCCCAAAUUAUUUUUUUUUUUAUCCGACCAAAUAUAUUAUCACCAUAUUAUUUCAUUAACAUUAACGCCCAUCAUAAUCGAUUCUAUCGUCACAAUAGUCAUGUUUUAAACAACAAUCCCAUGAUAAAUCGUAGUGAAUUUAUUGAAACCCUGUGUAUCAUAGCUGAUCUCCGAGUGCUUCCGACUGAGUAAUAUUCAAACAUAAAUCAUACAUGGUCAGUGUCUGUAGUAAAAUUAAUCUCCAAAAAUAAACAACGUUUCUAAAUUCUUUACUAUUCUUCAACUCUUUGUAGACACCGUGAAAUUCAUUAGACGGAUAUCAUGGCUAUAUACUGCAGCAAAUUUUACGAUCCUCGUGAUCACAGUGUUUCAGAUACCAUUAAAUCUAUUGGUUAUUGGGGACAGCAAAAAUUACCGAACGUAUAGGCACACACCCUAAAUAAAAUAUUUCGUAUUGAAUCUGAGAUGGAAUAGUUUCGAUAAACCUAUUAGAAUAUCGGUUAAUACUUAUGUACAAAUUUAUAUAAUAUAUGAUGUGCGUUUAUUACAAACAUCGACCCGAAUUUAGAAUUUAAGGUAUAAAUGUGUGCUCCGGCAUAACGAUUUAAUUACGCAUUCGAAUGGGUAAUUUCCAUACUCAAAAUAUUAUAAAAAUGGAAUAUAAUAUGCACGUGGUAACCAAUUUGAAAAGUAACCAGUAAGCAAAUAGACGAAUCGUGUCGAUGUUGCAUCCGGUCAAAAUGUCCGGUUUUAUAAUUUCCGACAGCAUGACGACAAAAACUUUAAAAAAAUAAUCGUACUAUGUUUUUAUUACGUUUUCUUUUCCAGAAAAACCCAAAGAGCACCGAAUACUAGGUACACUGUAACUUCACAUAGUUCAAUUCAAGUAACACAAUUAUAAACUACAAAGAAUUAGCAACUAAUUAUUUUAAUUUUAAUCGACAUUAUAAUACCAGCUUACUUAUUAUACACUUACUGCAAUAAUCAUGGCAAUUUAGUAUUUUGGUCCAAUACAUAAUUUCAGUCCACGAUACACGUUUGUUCAUUAUGUAGGUACUUUUAGUCCACAAUAUUGAAUGUGUUUGGCAUUUAUACUUUGAGAAUCUAAUUAGAUUACCGUGGUUCUUCUUCCGAGUUUAAUGUUAUUUUGCGCGGCCAUUAUUUGUUUGGUUCUACGUUUAUUUUUAAAUAUUCGACCGUUGGUAAAGGUCCGAUAAAUUAUUCAGAUGUGUUUAAUGAUGUGUUAAUAUUAAUGAGUAAAAAAGUUAUUGUAAAUUAUACAUUUGUUUUCUUUGAAACUACUCAAUUUAGUGUUGUAUAUCAUCAGCAUAUUUUGAUGAUAAUCGUAAAGUUUCAAAAUGUUAAGAAAAUGCAAUGAAGUAUACACCGAGCUCGUUAGUUUCUUUCUAUUGGGUGUAACUUUGAACUAUAAUUCUCAAUUUGUUCUUGAUUGACGGUUCAUUUAGUUGAAACCACUGGUGUAUAUACAAUGUACACCUGCCCCCCCAAAUAAUAAUAGUAUCUAAAAACUAAAUAUCGGACUACUAUUCUAGUAGUCCGAUAUUAUUUAUAUAAUAUCAUGAACGUAAAUAUUUUUAGCAUGAUUUAAGAAGGUAAUCUGCACGUUACACGUUCACGUGCUUUCGUUGAAAAUUUCAAUUAGUUAGUAGCACCUAUUUAUUAUUACAUUCACACGUAAUUAUAGUUAAAACAAAUUUUAACCGUUAAUUUGAAUAAUUG